Artibeus jamaicensis (Jamaican fruit-eating bat) is the source of this 474-nucleotide long non-coding RNA. RefSeq lists it as uncharacterized. The record is from RefSeq and is a predicted model, not a curated record. The transcript has 3 exons. Lineage: Eukaryota; Metazoa; Chordata; Mammalia; Chiroptera; Phyllostomidae.
AUCACCUAGGAUGGGAGAAGAGAGGCCAGGGUCCUAAGGGCAGCAGGAUCAGGGGUGGCUCCACAGGCAAGAGACUCUAGUCUGUCUAUUCCAGCCCCCCAUGGCUUGUUGAGGUCACAGGGCGAGCUGGCAGCAGAGCGUCAGACACUUGGGCUCCUGCCCCACCGUAUGGACAGGGAAGAGUCAGUCCAGGGGGGAGAGGACUUGCCUGCAGCUCCUUGUCCACAGCCUUGGACACCUCACUGGCUACAGACUCCAGCCUCUGCCGCACAGGCCCGUCAUUGGCCAGCACGUGACCCAGCUCGUAGAGGCUAGGGAACAGCUGUGUGAGGGAGGGGUUAUGACCAGAAGCUCCCCCACACAUGGAGUCCAGCCACGGGCACCACGCGAUGCCUCCUUCAUGCCUCACCCUAUCACAUCAAACCUGUGCCUCGAACACCCCGAGUGUCCCCGAGGGAAACGUUUACUUGCUCU